Molecule: RNase P RNA, 422 nt
Filed under: Actinomycetota bacterium
Lineage: Bacteria; Bacillati; Actinomycetota
Description: RNase P RNA component class A
Rfam family: Bacterial RNase P class A
About the family: Ribonuclease P (RNase P) is a ubiquitous endoribonuclease, found in archaea, bacteria and eukarya as well as chloroplasts and mitochondria.
Source: RNAcentral
UGGGCCGUCCGACCCGCCGCUGUAUUCCGGGGUUUCCUCCGGGAUGCAGAGCAAAGUCCGGACUCGCGAGGACCAGGGUUCUCACCCUGGUCCAGAAAGGCCGCUCGGGCUAAAAACCCGAGGGGCGGCACGGCGCAAGCCCGCCGCCACGUCAAGUGCAACAGAGAGCAGACCAGCCGAUGGCCGGAGAGGGGUAACCCCUUCAGGCACAGGUGAUGGGUGAAAGGGUGGGGUAAGAGCCCACCGGCGGUAUCCCGCGAGGGACCGGCCAGGUAAACCACCGGUGCGAGCAAGCCAAAUUGUCCCGGCUAGAACCCUGUCGGGCUGGUAGGCGCGGCUCCCUUCGGGAGCCCGGGGCUUAAAGAGCCCCGGAGAUGGAUGGCGGGAUAGAGCAGAAUCCGGCUUACGGGACGGCUCAGGCC